GCGUUCUGUAAGCCUGUGAAGGUGGCCUGUGAGGGUUGCUGGAGGUAUCAGAAGUGCGAAUGCUGACAUAAGUAACGAUAAAGCGGGUGAAAAGCCCGCUCGCCGGAAGACCAAGGGUUCCUGUCCAACGUUAAUCGGGGCAGGGUGAGUCGACCCCUAAGGCGAGGCCGAAAGGCGUAGUCGAUGGGAAACAGGUUAAUAUUCCUGUACUUGGUGUUACUGCGAAGGGGGGACGGAGAAGGCUAUGUUGGCCGGGCGACGGUUGUCCCGGUUUAAGCGUGUAGGCUGGU
This 290-nucleotide ribosomal RNA is filed under the name Escherichia coli. RNAcentral's name for it is "partial 23S ribosomal RNA". It matches the Rfam family "Bacterial large subunit ribosomal RNA", at positions 1236 to 1529 of the family's 2925-position model. Lineage: Bacteria; Pseudomonadati; Pseudomonadota; Gammaproteobacteria; Enterobacterales; Enterobacteriaceae. The record is from RNAcentral.